CCUUUGUCUAGGGAGAAAGUACCACAGUUUUUGUCUGAUCCCCCUCAAAAUGUUGAGAACCUCUAGGCCAGGGAGACCCUCCACUCCUGAGGCUGCUGCCCAGGGCAGGAGGGCCCAUGGUCUGCUUCCGACCCUCCUACAGCAUGUGCAACCUACAGCCGACCUCAGGCCAGGACCAGAACAGUGUGGCUGACCUGGACUUGCAGCUGCAGGAGCAGGAGCGCAUCAUCAACAUCUCCUACGCCCUGGCCUCCGAGGCCUCCCAGCGUAGCAAGCAGGUGGCAGCACAGCAGCUGGCCCUCCUCCCGCCUAAAGGCCCCCUGUCUUCCAGGACGGUGCCACCUUACCCCCCUUUUACCAACGGACUCCACUACACCUUUGUCUAACACCUUCCAACCCAGGCAGUGACUGACCCGUGACCCAGCAUGCAAAGGAGAAGCCUGGAGCCAGGGGCCCAGUGGAACCAGCUUCCUCCAAGGAGAUGACCUUUCUGCCCCCAAGGAAACCCCUUCCAGCUGAGCAGGGAAUCCGGCUGGAGGAAGGAGCAGCUUACCGACUGCGGGUGUUCACCACAGGCCAGGCCCUAAUAUGCACCUACUAGUUAAGCUCAGACUCCUCUCUACAUAUGAAUGGCAAAGGCACUUUUGAUAUACACUGUAAAAUACACUGUAUUUUAGAAUCAGAAUCUAUUUUCUAAUGUUCCCCUCAAGGGCUGAGUGGCAGGAAGGUUGAGGAUGCAGGACUUUGCAGCUGCACGUACAGAUUCAGGUACUUCUGGGUGACAGGUGUUGGGGGGGCAGGAAGGGCGGGGCAAGCCAAGGCUAGUCCAACUUCCAGUGACCUCAGGAGAAAGUGAGAUUUGAAGAGGUGUUCCCAGUAGACUCCAGCAAGAGGCUGGUUGGCGUGCUGUCUGGGAGAAGAGGGGCCCUUGGCUGCAGAGAUCAGCUGUCCCUGACCUGAUGACCAGCUCUGUGUGAAACUCCACGAGGAUCGCACGUGGAGCCCAAGUCUGUGCCUUGCCCCUUGGGUUUGGCUUAGGGGCAACAGUGUGUUCAAGAGGACUGGGGCCCACAACCUGCCCCCAGGCUUCCUCCAG
This 1096-nucleotide long non-coding RNA is filed under the name Pan troglodytes (chimpanzee). RNAcentral's name for it is "long non-coding RNA NONPTRT002990". The record is from RNAcentral. Lineage: Eukaryota; Metazoa; Chordata; Mammalia; Primates; Hominidae.